This 3210-nucleotide long non-coding RNA is filed under the name Sus scrofa (pig). RNAcentral describes it as "lncRNA (ENSSSCG00000055469.1)". The record is from RNAcentral. Lineage: Eukaryota; Metazoa; Chordata; Mammalia; Artiodactyla; Suidae.
AUCCUGCAACAUGUUUUAUCUCUGACAGUACAUCGGGAGGGACUGUGCUCUUUUGCUCCUUGCUCGUGCUGCUGUCUAAGAACAGAAGUCACCCGCCUCUCCUGCCCCCGGCUCGGGGGAACCCCUGGAGGUGGCUGUCUUUCUCAUCAAAAAGCGCACCUAGGGGGCGGGGGUUUCAGCACCACCUCCAGAAUCAUGGACCAGAGACAGUAGAAAGGGGACCGUUUUGUCCAUCCUUCCUUGGAGACGAGGGGACGUGCUCUGCCCUGCUUGGUCUUCUAAAAUGGCAAGAUGGAAAACUCACCAGGGAGUUCCCAUUGUGGCUCCGCAGGUUAAGAACCUGAGUGGUAUCCAUGAGGAUUCCGGUUCGAUCCCUGGGUUUGCUCAGUGGGUUAAGGACCGGUGUUACCGUGAGGUGUGGUGUCGGUCACAGACACAGCUCGGAUUCGACCCCUACCUAGCCUGGGAAAUUCCAUAUGCCAUUUGCAGCCCUAAAAAGCGAAAGAAAGAAAGAAGGAAGGAAGGGAAGAGAAGAGAAAGAAAGAGAGAGGGGGGGAGGGGAAGGAAGGAAGGAAGUUCACCAGGCAGAUUCUGUUGCAGCUCAGUCGGUUCAGAACCAGUAGACCAGUAUCCUUGAGGAUGCGGGUUUGAUCCCUGGCCUCGCUGAGGGGAUUAAGGAGCCCACGUUGCUGCAAGCUGCGGUCGCAGAUGCAGCUCAGAUCUGGCGUGGCUGUGGCUGUGGUGUAGCCCAGAAGCUGCAGCUUGGAUUCGCCCCCUAGCCUGGGAACUUCCAUGUGCUGCCUGUGCGGCCUUGAAAAGAGAAAGGAGCCGGAGGAGGAGGAGAAGGGGGAUGGGGGGGGGGGGAAGAGGAAGAGAAGAAGAAAAAAAAAAAAGGAAAGAAACCUCACCAGGAGAAGCUGGGAAAACUAGUGCAGGCAAAGAGCGGAGGAUUAUCUACCGUUACCUGCAGCUAAAAAGAAGAGGGACUUUGCAGGGAAGCCUUCUGACCAGAGUGUGUGACUUCGUGGUGGGAACCUCCCUCAUCAUCUGCUGCAAUGAACUGGCUGAGCCAGGGCCCGGCGAAGACAGCAGACCCUUCUCUGAUCUCUGGCCAACAAUUUCCCUAAAGCUUCCCUCGGUCAGUGGAAGCUGCCCUUGUUUUCAGCGGCGGUGGUGACGGUGGUGUUACUUCUCUCUGAGCUCCAGUUACAAUGGUCUUUGCCUGUAAAAUGGGAUUGGUGCCCUGGCCCUGCAGGGGGUGGGGGAACUGGCAGGGGAUAGGUGUGCUCGAUGUGGGCCUGAUCCCAGGCCCCCUGGAACAUAGAGUGGUGCCUGCACAAAAAUGAGGGCAAGAGAAGGUCCUGUGUCCACCCCAGGAGAAGGCCUCCUGGGUGUUGGGACAGUUUUUUUUUUUUUUUUUAAUUUUGCUUUUGUUUUUGGCCACGCCCAUGGCAAACAGAAGUUUCUGGGUCAGGGAUUGAACCCACACCACAGCAGUGACCUGAGCCACAGCAGUGACAGUGCUAGAUCCUGAACCCACUAGGCCACCAGGGAACUCCUGGCAGUGUUUUAUAUCUACACCCUGGGAGUAGUUACAGAGGUGGGUAUAUACACCAAAGUUCGCUGAGAUGUACAAACUGUGUUACUUUACUGUGUGAAGAAAAAAAAACGCACAAGAGUUCGCCGGUCCCAACUCUAUAACUCUGAGCAGAGAGCAGCUGCUGUUUCUGAGCCUUCUUCCAGCUCACUCUCCAUGGCAUUUCCUGAGGCUCAGCGUCCCUGGUCUUUACGCUGUUUAAUUGUCUGUGACUUCAGAGGAGGCUUAGAAAGAGGAGGAAGUGGCUCCACCUCGGCCACUGGUUCCUGACCUCGAUGAAUACUGCUGGGCUUUCUCCAGCCAAGGAUGGGGAAACGCGUGGUGAUGAAAAAGAGACUGUCCCUGAAGUGACCUUUCGGGUCGGAUUUGUGUUGUGUUAUCACAGCGGCAUCAGCCCUCCUCAGAGAAGCAAUGUUUGCAAAACGUGGUAUGUGGUCUAUGGGAGCGGAAAACGUAGAUUAAUGACUGCCUCCUGAUGGCUCUGCAGCUCCUCCGGGGGCAGAGGGACCCCUGGGCUCUCCGUGGGAUGAGCAGUUCAGGGAAGGACUGUUGUUUUUGUCAGCCAGCUCUCCUCCGCCCUCCACCUUCUUCUGGGAAAUCUCAUUCUUCCUUUCUGUUCCCUGCCACCCCUCUUGCCUGUGAUCCUGGUGGGGCAGCCAAUCAGACAACUCCAUCUUCUCAGUAGGAGCAGCCAUGUGACCCAGACCAGCCUAUCACAAUGUUCCUGGUAUCUGGGCACUGCAAUUGGUCCAAGCAGAGCCAAUCAGAGACCUUCCCCAAUAGUUUAUAUUCUGACACUGAUAGAGAAAUUCCUCUAGGCUCCAAGACUGGGCCCUGGCGUGGUGUUGGCAUGAAGCCGUGUGCAGCCUUCCCCCUCCCCACAUGGAGGGGACUGUAUUCCUCAAGGAUACAAUGAGGCCCCAGUCUCUAACUCACCCAGGCUUAGAAGUCUAGGAGUUUCCUUAUUCACUUCAACAGAACACCAGUCAAAUCCCAUCCCUCCUCUGCUCCAAACUCCACAGUGGCCCCCAUCUCACUCGAAGUGAAAGCCACAGUUUGGACAAUGGCCCAUCGCCCUGUCCCAUUUGGUGUCCAUCGGGUUCACUCUGAACUCUUUGACUCCGUCCUCCCCUCCCUCCCUCAGUCAGCCCGGUCACAGUGCCCUCCUCGCUAGUCCUCAGCAUGCCAGACACUGUCACUUUUCCGGAUCUUCUGCUCUGGGGAUGUCUCUCCCUGGAACUCUCUUCCCCCAGGCAUCCACAGGGUGACACCUCAUCGGCAAAUCUUUGCUCAAAUCUCACCUUCUGCACGUGGCCCACCCUGAUGACCUUAGUCAGUUCCACAUUGGAGACAAGAGGGCGGAGUAGAAGGAUGAGGUCACCUCCUCUCCAGAAAUCACCACAAUCAGUUCUGCAGCCUGUCCCCACCCCCAGCAUUCCAGAUGCCACUUCCCUGCCUCGAAUUUCUCUUCCUUCCAUAGCAUCUAUCACUCCAUGACAUACCAUACCGUUGACUAAGUAUCCUUACAGUGUAAGUCUCGGCUUCCUGGGACAGGGGUCUCUCUUUUGUUCACUGAUGAACAAGCAUGGGAUUGAACUGAAUUAAACUCCUUG